CCUACGGGUGGCAGCAGUGGGGAAUAUUGCACAAUGGGGGCAACCCUGAUGCAGCGACGCCGCGUGAGUGAAGAAGCAUUUCGUCAUGUAAAGCCCUAUCAGCAGGGAAGAAAAUGACGGUACCUGACCAAGAAGCCCCGGCUAACUACGUGCCAGCCGCCGCGGUAAUACGUAGGGGGCAAGCGUUAUCCGGAUUUACUGGGUGUAAAGGGAGCGUAGACGGCAGUGCAAGUCAGGAGGGAAAGGCGGGGGCUCAACCCCCGGACUGCUUUGGAAACUGUAGGGCUGGAGUGCAGGAGAGGCAAGUGGAAUUCCUAGUGUAGCGGUGAAAUGCGUAGAUAUUAGGAGGAACACCAGUGGCGAAGGCGGCUUGCUGGACUGUAACUGACGUUGAGGCUCGAAAGCGUGGGGAGCAAACAGGAUUAGAGACCCCUGUAGUC
RNAcentral lists this ribosomal RNA (440 nucleotides) under uncultured bacterium. RNAcentral describes it as "partial 16S ribosomal RNA". It matches the Rfam family "Bacterial small subunit ribosomal RNA", at positions 338 to 795 of the family's 1533-position model. The record is from RNAcentral.